CCCGUGGGGUCUAAUACCCGCUCCCACACACACACACACACACUGAGAGGAUUACUGUCUGUGUGUUGUCCCGUCCGAGCUCUGCUAGCUGAGUCCAGCCCGAUCCAGCAGAGCACAACAAGAGCACACCCAGGAGUUAAUCUGGAUCAUGACGCCACUCGUUUCUUUAGUCUGCCUCUAAAAGACAGGAAGACAAGCGGAGCCGGGAGGAGGAGGAGGAGUGUGUAAGGAAAUCCUGUGACUCAUGAGAAAAGAGGAUACCUGCCGUUUCACUGAUCCCAGCACAGAUUGAGAAACACUCUGUCAACGUGAAGGCACGUUCGUCCUUGGGCCGUGCUCCUGAACUGACUCAUUGUGGAGGAUGAAGAACGGGACCAAUCACGGCCGCUCCGUGUGAAUGCACUGAACCGUCGUGACCUCGGCCUCCCGCUGGGUCAACGAGUCCACGUCGGCCCGUAAGGGUCUCGAUUAAAAUGUCAUGUUGCGUCGGUCAAGGACACUUCAGCUCUGAUGCAGAAUGAGCAAAUAGCACCUGAGCCCGGUUUAUGUUGUCCUAUGUGAUAAGCUCAAGAAAAGGAUCAAUCAAGUUGUUGUUGUUUUUUUCUAUAUUAUUAAGAAACAUAUUUCCAGAAGAUCUUUUUUUAUUUGUUCUGCAGGAGAGCGUCAUACAGUACAUACAUCUGUCAGACCAAUGACAUGCAAUAAAGAGCAUCACUCUUAAAUAUGACAUGAUGCAAAUUUCCCUUCAGGAAAGUGACAGUAUUGCUUGUCUCUUAAACUAGUCCAUCAUCAUACCUGAUGAAGUUUUGUAACGAGGUUAAUGUCCAACAUAUGUUGCAAGUCAGCUGAACCAAACAGUUUUGCUGAAGUAUAAACUUGUGUUAUGAUGUAAUUUGAUUCAUCAAACCAUCUAAUUCCUUGGAUUAAGAUGCAAUUACCCAUUUCCAUGCUCUGUUGUGUCUGGCAUGUUUCUACUCUGCCAGCGUAUUGACUUCACUGAGGCAGGCUUCAUCGCUGAUCCUGCUAAAUUAAAGUCAGGUUACAUUUAGAUGACUGUCUGUACAAGGGAACAACAGCAGGAGUAAGACAGAAUCCCAGCAUACUCUGCCAGCUAAUAGUGAAUAAAAAAGUGUGUUUAAUCUUAAGCAGAAACCAACAAAUCCAAGGAAACAGAGGAUACCCGAACCAUUUUGUAUGUACAGUAUAAUAUAGUAUAUUUUUCCAGUUGUGUAGUCCUUCACCC
Long non-coding RNA from Gasterosteus aculeatus aculeatus (three-spined stickleback), 1243 nucleotides. The record is from Ensembl. Lineage: Eukaryota; Metazoa; Chordata; Actinopteri; Perciformes; Gasterosteidae.